GAUGAACGCUGGCGGCGUGCCUAAUACAUGCAAGUCGAGCGAACAGACGAGGAGCUUGCUCCUCUGACGUUAGCGGCGGACGGGUGAGUAACACGUGGAUAACCUACCUAUAAGACUGGGAUAACUUCGGGAAACCGGAGCUAAUACCGGAUAAUAUAUUGAACCGCAUGGUUCAAUAGUGAAAGACGGUUUUGCUGUCACUUAUAGAUGGAUCCGCGCCGCAUUAGCUAGUUGGUAAGGUAACGGCUUACCAAGGCAACGAUGCGUAGCCGACCUGAGAGGGUGAUCGGCCACACUGGAACUGAGACACGGUCCAGACGCCUACGGGAGGCAGCAGUAGGGAAUCUGCCGCAAUGGGCGAAAGCCUGACGGAGCAACGCCGCGUGAGUGAUGAAGGUCUUCGGAUCGUAAAACUCUGUUAUUAGGGAAGAACAAAUGUGUAAGUAACUAUGCACGUCGUGACGGUACCUAAUCAGAAAGCCACGGCUAACUACGUG
RNAcentral lists this ribosomal RNA (497 nucleotides) under uncultured bacterium. Its description in RNAcentral is "partial 16S ribosomal RNA". It matches the Rfam family "Bacterial small subunit ribosomal RNA", at positions 28 to 507 of the family's 1533-position model. The record is from RNAcentral.